CUGCAGCCAAUGAGGCCUCCGGGUUCCUUUCUCAUGGGGGCCUGCUCUGCCACGGCCUACGAACACAACCUUCUUGGUAGUGUGGGCAGCCUGUCGCCUGUUUGAGCUGCCCUAAGGGGCCUUGGAGGCUUGG
Rattus norvegicus (Norway rat) is the source of this 133-nucleotide small nucleolar RNA. Ensembl annotates it as small nucleolar RNA SNORA70. NCBI's taxonomy places the organism in Eukaryota, Metazoa, Chordata, Mammalia, Rodentia, Muridae. The record is from Ensembl.